UAAGGGAAUCUUCGGCAAUGGACGGAAGUCUGACCGAGCAACGCCGCGUGAGUGAAGAAGGUUUUCGGAUCGUAAAGCUCUGUUGUUAGAGAAGAACGUUGGUAGGAGUGGAAAAUCUACCAAGUGACGGUAACUAACCAGGAAGGGACGGCUAACUACGUGCCAGCAGCCGCGGUAAUACGUAGGUCCCGAGCGUUGUCCGGAUUUAUUGGGCGUAAAGCGAGCGCAGGCGGUUCUUUAAGUCUGAAGUUAAAGGCAGUGGCUUAACCAUUGUACGCUUUGGAAACUGGAGGACUUGAGUGCAGAAGGGGAGAGUGGAAUUCCAUGUGUAGCGGUGAAAUGCGUAGAUAUAUGGAGGAACACCGGUGGCGAAAGCGGCUCUCUGGUCUGUAACUGACGCUGAGGCUCGAAAGCGUGGGGAGCAGACAGGAUUAGAUACCCUGGUAGUCCACGCCGUAAACGAUGAGUGCUAGGUGUUAGGCCCUUUCCGGGGCUUAGUGCCGCAGCUAACGCAUUAAGCACUCCGCCUGGGGAGUACGACCGCAAGGUUG
Molecule: ribosomal RNA, 551 nt
Filed under: uncultured bacterium
Lineage: Bacteria
Description: bacterial SSU rRNA
Rfam family: Bacterial small subunit ribosomal RNA
Source: RNAcentral